This 497-nucleotide ribosomal RNA is filed under the name uncultured bacterium. RNAcentral's name for it is "partial 16S ribosomal RNA". It matches the Rfam family "Bacterial small subunit ribosomal RNA", at positions 28 to 507 of the family's 1533-position model. The record is from RNAcentral.
GACGAACGCUGGCGGCGUGCCUAAUACAUGCAAGUUGAGCGCUGAAGGCUGGUACUUGUACCAACUGGAUGAGCAGCGCACGGGUGAGUAACGCGUGGGGAAUCUGCCUUUGAGCGGGGGACAACAUUUGGAAACGAAUGCUUAUACCGCAUAAGGACUUGAAACACAAGUUUGAAGGUUGAAAGAUGCAAUUGCAUCACUCAAAGAUGAUCCCGCGUUGUAUUAGCUAGUUGGUGAGGUAAAGGCUCACCAAGGCGAUGAUACAUAGCCGACCUGAGAGGGUGAUCGGCCACAUUGGGACUGUGACACGGCCCAUACUCCUACGGGAGGCAGCAGUAGUGCAUCGUCGGCAAUGGACGAAAGUCUGACCGAGCAACGCCGCGUGAGUGAAGAGGGUUGUCGGGUCGUAAAACUCUGUUGGUAGAGAAGAACGUUGGUGAGAGUGGAAAGCUCAUCAAGUGACGGUAACUACCCAGAAAGGGACGGCUAACUACGUG